Molecule: ribosomal RNA, 402 nt
Filed under: uncultured bacterium
Lineage: Bacteria
Description: bacterial SSU rRNA
Rfam family: Bacterial small subunit ribosomal RNA
Source: RNAcentral
UGGGGAAUAUUGGACAAUGGGCGCAAGCCUGAUCCAGCCAUGCCGCGUGAGUGAUGAAGGCCUUAGGGUUGUAAAGCUCUUUCGCCGGUGAAGAUAAUGACGGUAACCGGAGAAGAAGCCCCGGCUAACUUCGUGCCAGCAGCCGCGGUAAUACGAAGGGGGCUAGCGUUGCUCGGAAUUACUGGGCGUAAAGCGCACGUAGGCGGUUUCUUAAGUCGGGGGUGAAAUCCUGGAGCUCAACUCCAGAACUGCCUUCGAUACUGGGAAACUUGAGUUCGGGAGAGGUGAGUGGAACUGCGAGUGUAGAGGUGAAAUUCGUAGAUAUUCGCAAGAACACCAGUGACGAAGGCGGCUCACUGGCCCGAUACUGACGCUGAGGUGCGAAAGCGUGGGGAGCAAACA